RNAcentral lists this long non-coding RNA (1035 nucleotides) under Sus scrofa (pig). Its description in RNAcentral is "lncRNA (ENSSSCG00040063650.1)". The record is from RNAcentral. Lineage: Eukaryota; Metazoa; Chordata; Mammalia; Artiodactyla; Suidae.
CCCGCCCCGGAGUCUGGUUUCAGUCAUCCUUUGUCCCGGCCCCGAUUGGCAGGUUUUAUUAUUCCGCCUCAACAAUCCGGCCGCCCAGUGGCUGAGGGUCGCUGACGUCGGCGGCAGAGCCGGGAGCAGUUGGGAUUCUGCUCCGUCAGUAACACAUGGGGAAGAGCCGCGCCGGGAGCCCGCGAGCCGGCUAGAGGCCCGCCCGCCGCCGCCGCCGCCGCCGCCGCCGCCGCCACCGCCGCCGCCGCCGCCGCCGCCGCCGCCGCCUCCGAGCCGGGCACAGCCGCCCCGGUAGCCGCCCCGGCCGCGGCGCAGGCUCGGGCGCUCCGGGCCCCGCCGCCCAGCUCCCCGCCUCNNNNNNNNNNNNNNCGCCCCGGCCGCCGCCGCCGCCGCCGCUCCCGGGGCCGAGGUGGCCGCGGCCGCCCCCCGGCCGGAGGUGCAGGAAGCCCGGCCGAGCGCCCGCCGCCGCCGCCGCCGGCCGCCCCGAGCGAGCGGGCGCGCGGGAGGGAGGCAGGCGGAGGAGGAGGAGGAGCAGCGGAGGCGCGCGGGCGGGCGGGGCGGGGGCCGCCGGGCGGGGAUAUACAAAGUGAAGCCACAUUGCCAAACUUGCAGCGGCGAUUGCAGCAGUUGCUGCCGCGGCGCCGCGGCCCGAGGGCUCCUGCGGCUGCUCGCGCCCAGCCGGACGCCGAGGAGCACGACCCGGACCGAGACGGACACUUCUGCUCCCCGCCGCCUGCCACUGACGCGGGCCCCCCAGCCCAGCCCCAGAGCCGCGCGUUAAAAAAAAAAAAAAAAAAAAAAAAAAGCCCUUCGCCCCCUCCUCCCCUUUCCUGCCUCUGCGAGGACAUCCCCCUCCCUCCUGCUCCGCCAGCCCCGGCGCCCCUUCCUCGGAAGCCGAGCGGCUUCGCUCGCAUUUCGCCGCCGCCGCCUCGCGCAGUCUUGCAAUAUAGGGGAAAAGCAGCCAAGUUGGGCCGGGGACAGGCAAAGUUCGCUCUCUCCCUUCUGAGGUGUCAGCUGAACGUCUUGAGCAGAUAG